GGGGUUGUGGUUCAGUGGUAGAGCACUUGCCUAGCAUGCAUGAGAAACUGGGUUCGAUCCCUGGCACCA
RNAcentral lists this transfer RNA (69 nucleotides) under Ictidomys tridecemlineatus (thirteen-lined ground squirrel). Its description in RNAcentral is "Spermophilus tridecemlineatus (thirteen-lined ground squirrel) tRNA". It matches the Rfam family "tRNA". From Rfam's summary of the family: Transfer RNA (tRNA) molecules are approximately 80 nucleotides in length. RNAcentral also lists the same sequence under 1 other name. The record is from Rfam by way of RNAcentral. Lineage: Eukaryota; Metazoa; Chordata; Mammalia; Rodentia; Sciuridae.